ACCAACUCCUACGGGAGGCAGCAGUGGGGAAUAUUGGACAAUGGGCGCAAGCCUGAUCCAGCCACGCCGCGUGAGUGAUGAAGGCCUUCGGGUCGUAAAGCUCUGUGGGGAGGGACGAACCGCUGGGUAUUAAUACCAUCCAGCAUGACGGUACCUCCUUAGCAAGCACCGGCUAACUUCGUGCCAGCAGCCGCGGUAAUACGAAGGGUGCAAACGUUGCUCGGAAUUAUUGGGCGUAAAGCGCACGUAGGCGGCUCCGCAAGUCCGGAUGUGAAAGCCUUCGGUUUAACCGAAGGGAGUGCAUCCGAAACUGCAGAGCUUGAGUACUUAAGAGGAUCGGGAAUUCCCGGGUGUAGAGGUGAAAA
This 365-nucleotide ribosomal RNA is filed under the name uncultured bacterium. RNAcentral describes it as "bacterial SSU rRNA". It matches the Rfam family "Bacterial small subunit ribosomal RNA", at positions 331 to 687 of the family's 1533-position model. The record is from RNAcentral.